RNAcentral lists this unclassified non-coding RNA (391 nucleotides) under soil metagenome. RNAcentral's name for it is "partial contains 5.8S ribosomal RNA, internal transcribed spacer 2, and large subunit ribosomal RNA". The stretch from base 1 to 122 matches the Rfam family "5.8S ribosomal RNA", at positions 35 to 154 of the family's 154-position model. The record is from RNAcentral.
GAUGAAGAACGUAGCGAAAUGCGAUACUUGGUGUGAAUUGCAGAAUCCCGUGAACCAUCGAGUCUUUGAACGCAAGUUGCGCCCGAAGCCAUUAGGCCGAGGGCACGCCUGCCUGGGCGUCACACGUCGUUGCCCCCCCAUCUACUCCUUCGGGAUUGCGAGGGGCGGAUGAUGGCCUCCCGUGCGCCUCGUCGCGCGGUUGGCAUAAAUGCCAAGUCCUCGGCGACGCACGCCACGACAAUCGGUGGUUGCGAAACCUCGGUUGCCCGUCGUGUGCGGUCGUCGCGCAUCGAGGGCUCGAAAAAAUUGCCGGGCUCCGGCUCGGCUUUCAACGCAACCCCAGGUCAGGCGGGGUUACCCGCUGAAUUUAAGCAUAUCAAUAAGCGGAGGA